Long non-coding RNA from Oncorhynchus nerka (sockeye salmon), 3021 nucleotides. RefSeq lists it as uncharacterized. The transcript is spliced from 7 exons. Lineage: Eukaryota; Metazoa; Chordata; Actinopteri; Salmoniformes; Salmonidae. The record is from RefSeq and is a predicted model, not a curated record.
GCACAAAAGUAGAAUUAAGACAUCCGGGAUAAAUGACUCAGCUGAGCUCAAUGAAGCCAAAACAUGUGCGUCCAGGCUUAAUUGGUUGCACAAAGACCAAGCCAGGAUGAGCAGACACGGAUUCAUUAAGCCAGGUGAAACCAAUCCUGGAUAGGUGCGCGCUCACGGCUCACUCAAAUAGACCCCGCCACAGAUCACAGAUUAACUGAUUUACCAUGGCAACUAGAGCCGCGUACUUUUCCCCGUCGGAAGCACAAAUCCUCAUGGAGGCAUACGAGGAGGUAAAAGAUAUAAUUAAGAAGAAAGGCAACACCGCCACAGUGAUAAAGCAAAGAGAAAAAGCGUGGCAAAGUAUUGCAGACCGCCUGAAUGCGUAAGUAGUGCACAAUUACACACUCACCGCUCCGCUGAAACAUCACAAUUACAAUUCAAAUAUUUAAUUCACAUCUCCAAAAAUGCAGUUGUACUGUAAUUAUGAAACGGUUAAAUUUUUAAUUGAAAUGCACUGCAGAUAUGAGUGAAAUUGUGUAAAGUAACUCCAUCACACUGUAUAAAGCUAUGAUAAAUUUUUUGAUAUUUUUACUGAAAACAAGACAAAAAUACCAAGUAAUUUUUUGCAGUGUGACUCCAUUAAAUGUGUGUGUGUGUGUGUGUGUGUGUGUGUGUGUGUGUGUGUGUGUGUAGAUUAAACAUGAACGGGCCAAAACGGACAUGGCAGCAGGUCAAAAUCAAAUACAAGAACAUUCUGCAGAAUGCAGUGAAAAAGAAUACCCACAGACAAGGCACGGGUGGUGGGUCACCAAAGGCUGACCUUACCCCAGCAGAGGACAUGGCCUUGGAGCUAAAUAAAGGCAGGCCCGUCUUAGAGGGGAUCCCUGGGGGGAAAGAGACGAGCAUAGGUUCCUCCCAAGAUGCCACCCGCUUCAUUCAAGUGCCUGGCAGCACUGUGUUCCUGUUAGAGCCACCAGCACAAGCACCAGACGAUGCUGAUCCAGGUGAAGGCCCCAGUGCAGCAGCAACAGCACAUGAUGGAGACGAUGAUGAGGAGGAGACCAUCUCUCUGGAUUCCAGAAGGCAUGAGGUAUCAUGUUAAGACGGUGAAAGUACUAUUUACUCUACAAUGGUGAGGAGUCCUCAUCAAAAUCAAAAAAUCUAAUUUCUUUUACAGGACCCAGAUGCUAUACAGUGGGAAAACCAGCCUGGCAACAUAGUGCGUAUUAAUAAAAGGACACCACAUCCUGCCAAAUUCCAGCUGCGCUAAUUGUAUUGUGUUCACAGAGCUCACAAGCUAUCAGAAAGUUGUAUGGCAACCACCUCCGGCGCCAAAUAGAACUGGCAGACAUAGACAUUCAGUACAAGAAGAAAAAGAUGGAAAAUCUUGCACUGGAGUCCGAAAUAAAAAGAGGACAAUUAGGAAACUGGACCUUGAAAUAAAAAAACUUGAGAGGGAGCUCCAAGAAGAUGACACAGCUCAAAAUAAAAAUUAGGUAUAUUCUCGUAAAGUCAAGUGAGCCAUGACAUAUGAGCUCUUAUUGUGAGCACACAGGACGGUGGCAUCUUUCUAAGGUUUUUUUAUUUUCCCAGCAAUCAGUACAACCAAGUCAUCGUUAUAAGGCAUCGCCCUCUUUUGCCCACCCCCCCAGCACCAGGUGUGGCCACUAGCCUAUAUGAAGGCCCAAAAUUGUGUGUUCCUUUCUGCUCUGACAAUGGCAUGCCCAUUCGUGCGAGAUGUGGUGGAUGAAGAAGCACUUGUGCUGAGGAGAGCCUUCAGGCGAGAAAGGGUCUUCAGGGACCGGUUGGACCCACUGGCCUUCCCUGAUGACCAUCUAUAUGAAAGAUACCUGAUGCCAUCUGCAGAAAACCUGUAUCUAUGCAGACUACUGGGUCCCAGGAUUAAGCACCGCACUGCACGGAGCCAUGCACUGAGUGUGGAGCAAAUGGUUUGUGUGGCCUUGCGCUUUUUUGCUAGUGGAGCCUUCCUGUACUCAGUGGGGGAUGCAGAACAGCUGAACAAGGCCACAAUUUGCCGCACAAUAAGGAGUGUGUGUCUGGCUAUCAAAGCAUUAGCAGAUGUCUUCAUCUCCUUCCCUGGCCACAGAAGACUCUGUGACAUCAAAGAGGAGUUCUAUAGGAUUGCAGAUGGUCUGCAAUGCUGACUGUGUGAUCAGCAAUGUUGUGGCAAAAUGGCCUGGCUCAGUCCAUGACUCCAGAAUCUUUCGGGCCUCUGAAAUCUAUCAGUGCCUAUCACAAGGUGAAUUCUCUGGUGUGUUGCUGGGAGACAGGGGGUAUGACUGCCAGCCUUUUCUCCUGACACCUUUCACAGACCCCAGGAAGCACAGCAGGCCUACAACCAUGCCCAUGCCAGGACCAGGGCCAGAGUUGAAAUUACCUUUGGCCUCCUGAAGGCACGCUUUCACUGCCUUCACAAAUUAAGGGUCAGCCCUGUUAGGGCAUGUGAUAUUACUGUGGCUUGUGCUGUCCUCCACAAUGUGGCCUGCCUGAGGAAGGAGAGGGCCCCCAGAGUGCCACCAGCCAUGGACUGGGACAAUCCGGCAAUCUUCCCUGAUGACGACAGUGGUCGGCUGCUGAGGGACCAAUAUGUGUUGAAUUAUUUUAGUUAGUAUGUGUGCUUUCAAUUUUGGUUAAAUAUGUCCUGCGGUGGCAGAGGAAUUUGGUUUUUUUGGGUUCGUUUUUGACGAAUUUGGCCUCUUAUGAUGUUUGUGCGGUAUACUGUGUGUAAUACAAGGCUGCAGGGAGGCUACUGCAUCCAUUCAUUUGUCUGUUCAGUUGAUGUGUAUGGAUUUGUCCUGCAUUUAUUUUAGUGUGCAGACAUGCAGGGUGUGUUAUAUACAGACCUUUGAAUGUGUAUGUAUCAUUUUGUAUAAUAUGCUUGGAUUCUGUGCUUUCCAUCUUGUAGAGUCACUGUGACUUCAGUUUCGAAAGGAGCUGAUGGUUUACCUGCUUUGUUUUGUCCUUAUUCAAUAAAGGAACAUAAUGUUACACAUUGUGUUUUUAUAUUCA